Molecule: long non-coding RNA, 2185 nt
Organism: Setaria italica (foxtail millet)
Lineage: Eukaryota; Viridiplantae; Streptophyta; Magnoliopsida; Poales; Poaceae
Exons: 3
Source: RefSeq, a predicted model, not a curated record
CAUGACUUCCGUCAAUCACGCCUCCGUUCUUUUCUCCCUUUCCUUCAAUUCCUUUCAUCGCCUCCGCGAUCUCCUCCCGCAGAUUACUCCUCCCGACUCCCGAGCUCCCCUCCGUGAUUUAUUUCCACCUUUUGAUUUCGUUGCCUUCUCCCCAAUUCCAGCAGCCUCUCGUGUGCAGCAUGAUCUUCUUUCUCACCUCUCCAGACCCAAUCCCGCACCAUCCGAUCCCUAACCCAUCCUCAUCGGCGGCGACAGCAGGCUACAGGAUCAUGAGGAGGCAGACACGGCACUGCGGCAGGCAGCAGCCCCACGAGUCCUUGAGGAGGCGAACGCGGAGAUGGCGUACCAGGGGGGUGGCCGUGCUCCUCCGCGCUGACGCUGCCAUGAUCCCAUCUCCCCGAGGUUCCCGCGCUGAUCCAUCGAUGCCAAGCGCCUACACAAGAACGACCUCACAUCCACUAGGCACAUCCAAUGGAUGCACACCAUUCACUCGAUGGUUUGUCUCGGGGAGGUAUGAGCUAACCAAAUAACCAUGACCAUGUUUCUGCAGAAAACAAGUAUCCUUGCCAUUUAUCAAAAUGUGUGAAGAAAAAACUGAGCCACCGUCGAAUAGAAGUUCCUUCAUGACAUUCAGCGUGGUGGCACGACCAAUAGAAUCACCUCGCCAUCUCCAAUAAGGACACUCUUGCGAUGUAGUCUUUGAUCUGCCAUUGAUCUUCCCUCUCAUAUACCUGUUUGUUGAUCAAGCACACAGUGAGUACAUCAUCCCCCUUUGUUGUCACCGUUGAACAAAAUUUAUGGCCCGGUCCCUGUAUGUCCGUAUUCAUGCAAAUAUGUGAUCGUUCUAUUUGUUGGUGUAUCUCAUCGUUGUCGUAAGAAAUUCCAAAAAGUUGUUCCCAUCUCAUCUGAUCAUUGUGGUAAGACAUUCCUUGGAAGGCAAGGUAAGAUACUAAUAUCUACAAUUAAUUAUUUCAAAUUUGUCAGUUGGCUGAUUGAUAAAUGAUUCUUUUGUUUUCCCACAUGUAUAUGUAUGAAAAAUAGAUUAGUACACAUGUUUGUUGCAGAUUUUAAUGACACCUCACACCUCUAAAUUGUCCUAUAAUUUCUGCAGGUGUUUCCUCCUGUUUGUUGGAAGGAAGUUGAGUCAAAUGAGAUGUCUAAAUAGUAAAUACAUUUGUCCUGGAAUUCUGAUGCACGAAAAAUAUAUAUGAAAAAACAUCCUCUCAAGUAUCAGUGAAUGCCGCAUUGCAUCAGAACUGCAUUUUUACUUGCUGCUUGAACUUCACACCCUCUCAACGCAUCGUGGCUGCUGUCUAGGUGGCAUGUCACUCAGGUGAAGAACAAUUGAGGAAUAUUUGGGGCCUAGAGCAACAAAAGCAACUGAAAUGCCGAGGAUGCUGGGGAGAGAAUGUGGGAGGUUGCAGAUGUAAGUUCCUCAGUAACAUGCCACUUGCUAGAAUUUGGAAAACUGAACGCUAAUCGAGGGAGAACAGACUCAAGUCCACCGGUUGAGGGAACAUACAAGAUCGAUAUUGAUUGAUGCAGCUUUCUCUGCCAACGAGGGGAAUGGUGUGCAAGUUUUGUGGCAAGAGAUAGCAUAGGGUAAGUUUGGUGGCAGGGGUUGGCAGUAUUAUGUGCAUGCCUCAUAAGCACCGGCAGUAUUGUGUUGCACAUUGCCUGGCUGGGAAUUACAAGGAUGGUAGGUGCUCGAAAUUGAUGCCCUAGCACUUGCUUUAGCACUUCAAUCCUGAGAUGAACCAUAGUUGUAAUUGGAGUUUAUUCAUGCAGAUUAGAGAUCUCAUUCAUAAUGAAUUUGUAUACUGUAAGAUGUCAGUCCAUAAGAGUCUACAACAAAGUAGCAGACUGCCUUGCAGCCCAUGGUGCAUGCGUAGUGGCCUCUGGUUAUGUAACUGUACAUUUCUAGAUUGGUGGUUGUUUAAUGGAAGUUAUCUUUCAUUUAAAAAAAAAUAUUGUACAAGCACAUUGAAAACCAUUAAGUGAACCUUGUAUUUUCUUUUUUGGUGACCUUUUCCAAUUAAGCUUCCUAAAGUGGAUGAAAAAAAACUGACAAUAGCAGGAUACAGAAUAGAGGUAUCGUUUCUGCCUGGAGGAAAGGGGAGAAAGAGGUAAACUCUGUCACUAAAAUAUUAAAUAGAAUAGAUCGAGCAUUGUGUUGCAGGUUGUG